UAGGGUUGGUCGGAAUCAUAGAACAUAAUAGAACAAAACUUAUAAGAAGCUGAAUGAAAUUUGGAGCAAGCUAGGCAGGACAGAUCCUAUAGUAAUCAAAAAUAUUUCAAACGGAGUUCGGAAUUGAAAAGCGAAGUCCAGCCUGAAGGUACUCUAUAUAAAUGGCUAUGUGGUCUGCAGAAGGGGAAAUCACUCGGCCCUCC
Molecule: long non-coding RNA, 203 nt
Filed under: Elaeis guineensis (African oil palm)
Lineage: Eukaryota; Viridiplantae; Streptophyta; Magnoliopsida; Arecales; Arecaceae
Description: long non-coding RNA (EGUI_LNC019706)
Source: RNAcentral